This 336-nucleotide unclassified non-coding RNA is filed under the name soil metagenome. Its description in RNAcentral is "partial contains 5.8S ribosomal RNA, internal transcribed spacer 2, and large subunit ribosomal RNA". The stretch from base 1 to 120 matches the Rfam family "5.8S ribosomal RNA", at positions 35 to 154 of the family's 154-position model. The record is from RNAcentral.
GAUGAAGAACGUAGCGAAAUGCGAUAAGUAGUGUGAAUUGCAGAAUUCAGUGAAUCAUCGAAUCUUUGAACGCACAUUGCGCCCCUUGGUAUUCCAUGGGGCAUGCCUGUUCGAGCGUCAUUUGUACCUUCAAGCUUUGCUUGGUGUUGGGUGUUUGUCUCGCCUUUGCGUGUAGACUCGCCUUAAAAUAAUUGGCAGCCGGCGCAUUGAUUUCGGAGCGCAGUACAUCUCGCGCUUUGCACUCAUAACGACAGCGUCCAAAAGUACAUUUUACACUCUUGACCUCGGAUCAGGUAGGGAUACCCGCUGAACUUAAGCAUAUCAAUAAGCGGAGGA